CACGUAAGGAGCGAGCGUUGUUCGGAAUUAUUGGGCGUAAAGGGCACGUAGGCGGUUAUAUAAGUCUGGUGUGAAAGACUGCAGCUUAACUGCAGGAACGCACUGGAAACUGUAUGACUUGAAUCAGUGAGGGGUAACCGGAAUUCCUAGUGUAGGGGUGAAAUCUGUUGAUAUUAGGAAGAACACCGAUGGCGAAGGCAGGUUACUGGCACAUGAUUGACGCUGAUGUGCGAAAGCGUAGGGAGCGAACAGG
Molecule: ribosomal RNA, 253 nt
Filed under: uncultured bacterium
Lineage: Bacteria
Description: partial 16S ribosomal RNA
Rfam family: Bacterial small subunit ribosomal RNA
Source: RNAcentral